GACGAACGCUGGCGGCGCGCUUAACACAUGCAAGUCGAGCGACUGCAUUCUUUUCGGAGGGUGUAUGGAGCGGCGAACGGGUGAGUAACACGUGAGUAAUCUGCCUUUGGCUUGGGAAUAACUUCGGGAAAUCGGGGCUAAUGCCUGAUGUUUACUGUCUGCUGCAUGGUGGGUGGUGGAAAGAUUUUUUGGCCAGGGAUGAGCUCGCGGUCUAUCAGCNGUUGGUGGGGUAAUGGCUUACCAAGGCUUUGACGGGUAGCCGGCCUGAGAGGGUGUUCGGCCACACUGGGACUGAGACACGGCCCAGGACUCCUACGGGGAGGCAGCAGUGGGGAAUAUUGCGCAAGUGGGCGCAAGCCUGACGCAGCGACGCCGCGUGGGGGAU
RNAcentral lists this ribosomal RNA (385 nucleotides) under uncultured bacterium. Its description in RNAcentral is "bacterial SSU rRNA". It matches the Rfam family "Bacterial small subunit ribosomal RNA", at positions 28 to 409 of the family's 1533-position model. The record is from RNAcentral.